Molecule: non-coding RNA, 27 nt
Filed under: Mus musculus (house mouse)
Lineage: Eukaryota; Metazoa; Chordata; Mammalia; Rodentia; Muridae
Source: RNAcentral
UNCAAACAGCACCCGCUCGACCCACAG